Molecule: non-coding RNA, 30 nt
Filed under: Rattus norvegicus (Norway rat)
Lineage: Eukaryota; Metazoa; Chordata; Mammalia; Rodentia; Muridae
Source: RNAcentral
UGAAAGAAUGAACUGCCAGACGGCUCUUGC